Long non-coding RNA from Bubalus bubalis (water buffalo), 672 nucleotides. RefSeq lists it as uncharacterized. The record is from RefSeq and is a predicted model, not a curated record. NCBI's taxonomy places the organism in Eukaryota, Metazoa, Chordata, Mammalia, Artiodactyla, Bovidae. The transcript has 3 exons.
CUGUUCUCAGGCAAAUGGGAGUUGGGGGCAGAGUAAAAGAGACCAGGGAUCAAGUGUAAGAAUUUCCUUGCUGGGACAUCAUGCAAGAAAUAUUUGGUUCACUUUUCUGGCUCUUGAAAUCCAUGGCCACCCCUCUUGACUCCCACCUGGUAGAUUUGGCUAAUUGGAGGUUAGCAUCUCUCUCAGCUGUAGCUGGUGAAACAGGGAUUUCUACGUCAAACCUCCUUCUUCAGUCUCUAUCCUGAGAAACUCCUCAGGAGGACUGCAGUUCACCUUCCCUGCCCCAAGAGGAGAGAUUUGGACAUCAUUUUUCAUCUGUCUGAGUGUGAAGGACUAGAAUAAGUUGUAUUUUCUCUGGGUCUCAGAUGCAGGGAUAGUUUGACAUAAUUUAAUCAUUUUAUUCUCUUCACCAAAUGUAAUGACAUUGUUAUCACUGCCAUUCUAAAGCUUGUCAAACUGUAGUAACCUCCACAAAAUUUGUUUCAAAUAAAGGGAUGUGAUACAACCACUAAGGCCAUGACAUCAGCUUUACUUUGGGAAUCUGGAGGCUAUUUCACAUUAAAUUAGCCAGUCACUGUAUGGAGAAAUUUUAUUUAACAAACACAUAUGGCACUUGAGCUUCUGGGGUGGCACUCACGGUAAAGAACCUGCCUGCCAAUGCAGGAGACGUAA